Molecule: non-coding RNA, 522 nt
Organism: Megalops cyprinoides (Indo-Pacific tarpon)
Lineage: Eukaryota; Metazoa; Chordata; Actinopteri; Elopiformes; Megalopidae
Source: the annotation of a RefSeq genome assembly
AUGACGGAGGAUAUCCGGAACUUCACCGCCGCCUGCUCGAGGUUUUUGUGCGGGACACUAAUAGGAACUGAAUCACUGUGGUACACUUUUGGCAGCGGCACCAGACUGCACGUUGGAAAAAACGUCUCCCCCACCCUCAUGGUCCUGCCCCCCUCUAGCGUGGAGCUGUCCAGCAAGAGAACGGCCACGCUGAUGUGCCUGGCCAACAAGGGCUUCCCCUCAGACUGGACGCUGCGCUGGAAAGUGGACGGUAGCAGCAGGAGCUCGGAGGCGAGCGGCGGGGUCCUGGAGAAGGACGGCCUGUACAGCUGGAGCAGCACCCUGACUCUCUCUGUGGACGAGUGGAACAAGGCGGGGUCACUGACCUGUGAGGCCACCCAGGGCUCCCAGACUCCGCUCACUCACACACUGAGGAGAGAGCAGUGUUCUGAGUAGCGCCUCACACACUCCUGUGUAGAGCGGCUGAAUGCUCUGUUUUUACUCUCUUCUGCACUCAGCUCUUCUCUUUCUUACUCACUGAUU